RNAcentral lists this ribosomal RNA (253 nucleotides) under uncultured bacterium. RNAcentral's name for it is "partial 16S ribosomal RNA". It matches the Rfam family "Bacterial small subunit ribosomal RNA", at positions 524 to 776 of the family's 1533-position model. The record is from RNAcentral.
UACAGAGGGGGCGAGCGUUGUUCGGAAUCACUGGGUGUAAAGGGUGCGUAGGCGGUCGGCUAAGUCUGAUGUGAAAGCCCUCGGCUCAACUGAGGAAUUGCAUUGGAAACUAUCCGGCUCGAGUACUGGAGAGGGAAGCGGAAUUCCUGGUGUAGCGGUGAAAUGCGUAGAUACCAGGAGGAACACCGGUGGCGAAGGCGGCUUCCUGGCCAAGUACUGACGCUGAGGCACGAAAGCGUGGGGAGCGAACGGG